GUUUCUUACUCUUUUUCCCACUACUUAGUAUGAUCCACCGCUAUCUCACUACCCUUUAUUUCUUACUGACCCAAUUUCCCAAUCCUCUCAAUCUUCAAGCUAUCAAAAUCAAAAUCUUGUGAUUUUUUUUAUCUUUUUGUUGUUGAUUGCUGUAAAGUGGGUUUUGGUUUAAAAGGAAAUGAGGGAUGUUCUCGUGGCUGGCAAGGAUAGCAAUGGCGUGUUGGAGACCUGUCAGUCGAUAUGCCCGUAUGAGCAAGGAUGAUAGUGUUAAUAAUGAUGAUGAUUCUUCCUUCGGUGACUCACUUCUCUGGUCCAAAGACCUCGAGAAACACUCUUAUGGGGAAUUCUCUUUCGCUGUAGUUCAAGCCAAUGAGAUCAUUGAAGACCAUAGUCAAGUGGAAACUGGUCGCGAUGCCACCUUUGUUGGCGUCUAUGAUGGGCAUGGUGGGCCCGAUGCAUCUCGGUUCAUUUGUGA
This 475-nucleotide unclassified non-coding RNA is filed under the name Hevea brasiliensis (rubber tree). Lineage: Eukaryota; Viridiplantae; Streptophyta; Magnoliopsida; Malpighiales; Euphorbiaceae. The record is from RNAcentral.